AAGUCGUAACAAGGUCUCCGUAGGUGAACCUGCGGAGGGAUCAUUAACAUACACCAUAAGGUAUAUAUGUGUGUAUGGGUCUCCAUACCACAUGUAUUCUCCCACACCCAUGAACCUCUGAUAUCACCCAAACUGGGUGUAUAGGAUCUCUUUCCCUGCCUAGCUGGGAAACCCUGUACGCCUCCCCAUUUCUUCCCCCUUUAUUUUUUCACCCCUCCCUACUCUUUACAUUAUACAGUAUAGGACGAUAGUCAACUAUACAUCACUCCUAGCAAUGGAUAUCUAGGUUCUC
This 292-nucleotide unclassified non-coding RNA is filed under the name fungal sp. Its description in RNAcentral is "partial internal transcribed spacer region". The stretch from base 1 to 46 matches the Rfam family "Eukaryotic small subunit ribosomal RNA", at positions 1786 to 1831 of the family's 1831-position model. Lineage: Eukaryota; Fungi. The record is from RNAcentral.